GGGGAGUCGAGGAGGGGAAAUUUAAGAAUUGAGAAGCCUCUAGAGAGAACGAACAAGAGUGAUGGAAAUCCGGAGGAAAGAAAGUUCAUUUAAGUGGAGAAAGAUAUAAGAAGGCUACCAUGUUUUGUCCUUUCUGUGGCCAACAUCUGGGGACGGUUCAAGUGUUCUGUGACUCCUGUGGCAAACAUGUACAGUUUUUGGCAGAAGUUGAACACAACAGCAUUCCAUAAGGAGGGUCAGGAACUCACGCUUGGGACCACCAGUGUCCACUCCAUCCUCAGUUUGUCCCUCAUCAUCAGUGAACUUAACUGACAUCUCAUGAGAGGGGUCGAAUGCAACACACUCUCACUCCAUAAUCGUCCAGGAGCGACGUUUGGUCAGGG
Gymnodraco acuticeps is the source of this 383-nucleotide long non-coding RNA. RefSeq lists it as uncharacterized. The record is from RefSeq and is a predicted model, not a curated record. NCBI's taxonomy places the organism in Eukaryota, Metazoa, Chordata, Actinopteri, Perciformes, Bathydraconidae. The transcript is spliced from 3 exons.